GAUUGGUAAUGGACGCAGUCUGAACCAGCCAUGCCGCGUGAAGGAUGAAGGCCUUCUGGGUUGUCAACUUCUUUUACCUGGGAAGAAACCCCGAUUUUCUAAUCGGGUUGACGGUACCAGAGGAAUAAGCACCGGCUAACUCCGUGCCAGCAGCCGCGGUAAUACGGAGGGUGCAAGCGUUAUCCGGAUUUACUGGGUUUAAAGGGUGUGUAGGCGGGUCUUUAAGUCAGUGGUGAAAUCUCCGAGCUCAACUUGGAAACUGCCAUUGAUACUAUUGAUCUUGAAUUUUGUUGAGGUAGGCGGAAUAAGUCAUGUAGCGGUGAAAUGCAUAGAUAUGACUUAGAACACCAAUUGCGAAGGCAGCUUGCUAAACAAAUAUUGACGCUGAGGCACGAAAGCGUGGGGAUCAAACAGGAUUAGAUACCCUGGUAGUCCACGCCCUAAACGAUGAUUACUCGACAUACGCGAUACACUGUGUGUGUCUGAGCGAAAGCAUUAAGUAAUCCACCUGGGAAGUACGACCGCAAGGUUGAAACUCAAAAGAAUUGACGGA
Molecule: ribosomal RNA, 553 nt
Filed under: uncultured bacterium
Lineage: Bacteria
Description: bacterial SSU rRNA
Rfam family: Bacterial small subunit ribosomal RNA
Source: RNAcentral